Molecule: ribosomal RNA, 453 nt
Filed under: uncultured Porphyromonadaceae bacterium
Lineage: Bacteria; Pseudomonadati; Bacteroidota; Bacteroidia; Bacteroidales; Porphyromonadaceae
Description: partial 16S ribosomal RNA
Rfam family: Bacterial small subunit ribosomal RNA
Source: RNAcentral
ACGGAAGGCAGCAGUGAGGUAUAUUGGUCAAUGGGCGGAAGCCUGAACCAGCCAAGUCGCGUGAAGGAAGAAGGUAUUAUGUAUUGUAAACUUCUUUAGACGUAGAGAAAUAAGGGGAUCGUGAUCCCUGAUGCUAGUAUACGUAGAAUAAGGAUCGGCUAACUCCGUGCCAGCAGCCGCGGUAAUACGGAGGAUCCGAGCGUUAUCCGGAUUUAUCGGGUUUAAAGGGUGCGCAGGCGGUCUUUUAAGUCAGUGGUUAAAUCGUGGAGCUUAACUCCAUCCCGCCAUUGAUACUGGAGGACUUGAUUGCGGUUGAGGUUGGCGGAAUUCGCCGUGUAGCGGUGAAAUGCAUAGAUAUGGCGAAGAACUCCGAUUGCGUAGGCAGCUGACCAAGCCGUAAAUGACGCUCAUGCACGAAAGUGCGGGGAUCGAACAGGAUUAGAUACCCUGGUA